Molecule: ribosomal RNA, 432 nt
Filed under: uncultured bacterium
Lineage: Bacteria
Description: bacterial SSU rRNA
Rfam family: Bacterial small subunit ribosomal RNA
Source: RNAcentral
AACGAACGCUGGCGGCAGGCCUAACACAUGCAAGUCGAGCGAGACCUUCGGGUCUAGCGGCGGACGGGUUAGUAACGCGUGGGAACGUGCCCUUCUCUGCGGAAUAGCCACUGGAAACGGUGAGUAAUACCGCAUACGCCCUUCGGGGGAAAGAUUUAUCGGAGAAGGAUCGGCCCGCGUUAGAUUAGAUAGUUGGUGGGUAACGGCCUACCAAGUCUACGAUCUAUAGCUGGUUUUAGAGGAUGAUCAGCAACACUGGGACUGAGGCACGGCCCAGACUCCUACGGGAGGCAGCAGUGGGGAAUCUUAGACAAUGGGCGCAAGCCUGAUCUAGCCAUGCCGCGUGUGUGAUGAAGGUCUUAGGAUCGUAAAGCACUUUCGCCAGGGAUGAUAAUGACAGUACCUGGUAAAGAAACCCCGGCUAACUCCGUG